Nelumbo nucifera (sacred lotus) is the source of this 1116-nucleotide long non-coding RNA. RefSeq lists it as uncharacterized. The record is from RefSeq and is a predicted model, not a curated record. NCBI's taxonomy places the organism in Eukaryota, Viridiplantae, Streptophyta, Magnoliopsida, Proteales, Nelumbonaceae.
CGACAGAAAGUUCAUUGAAGCUUCACAUUUGUCUUUCUGGUUUCUAGUCGCAGUGAAUGUGGAAGACAGGAAAAGGAAUCGGAUGUUAAUCCUGCUCAGCGAACUACUAGAUUCGUACUUCCAAACCGCCGGCUUAUAACCUGUUAAGCACGCAGGAAAACCAUAUACUGUAUGAACAUAACAUAAAAAAAUAGGGUUUUCCCUAGUCUGACCAACAUCUUCCUACUGCCCGCCUAAAGAUUUAACAGCCGGUGUCAUCUCUCCUGCGACAGCCACGAGCAAUGGUCCAUCCAGAGGUUCCUCACCGUACCAUCACCGAUAUGACUUGGAAUCUGGUGUAAGCCAUGGAAGGGGAUGUGAAGAAGACGAUGCUGAAUGUUCCUCAGACCCCUUUGAUACGAAGACUAGCAAGAACGCUUCCUUGGAACGACUCAAGUGAUGGAGGAUUUUUACUGUGUACAAGGCUACCAAGAACGCUUCCUUGGAACGACUCAAGCGAUGGAGGACUACCAAGAACGCUUCCUUGGAACGACUCAAGCGAUGGAGGCAAGUGGCUCUUGUGCUUAAUGCUUCUCGCCGAUUCCGAUACACUUUGGACUUGAAAAAAGGAAGAGGAGAAAGAGCAAAUGAGAAGGAAGGUUAGAGCACAUGCGCAAGUCAUUCGAGCGGCAUUUCUUUUCAGAGAGGCUGGGGAACGAGUAAAUGGGUAGGUAUUAAGGAGGGCUGGUAUGAUAGGGGAAGCAUUGCCUUCGCUGUUCUUCUUGUUAUCGUUGUUACAGAAGCUGCAUAAUGUUCUGAUGGACAUAAAUAGAGCUAAUAAAGAGUCUGGACAUGGGAAUAUUCAGGUUCUUUUAUGGUUAGGCCCUUCUACAAUCAUCCAGCUGUACUAACAGGAAGGGUAUUCCAUUACAACAAAGUUUGGGGUGUUGCAGUUCCAUCCAUGAUAGCAAUUUUUUGUUUGUACUGCAACUUGAAACAAGAUUCUUAAAGGGAACAAAACUGCUCCUUGUGCUUCCAUUGAAUCUUCAUCAGAUUAUCAGUCGAGGACCCAUUUAGAGUUAGCUUUUAAAAUCAAUAUUAUGCCUACUAGUAAAGUUGGUUUGAAUGUUUUGUUUU